This 358-nucleotide long non-coding RNA is filed under the name Sorghum bicolor (sorghum). RNAcentral's name for it is "long non-coding RNA (SBIC_LNC005705)". Lineage: Eukaryota; Viridiplantae; Streptophyta; Magnoliopsida; Poales; Poaceae. The record is from RNAcentral.
CGCUUCUCUGUUUUCGAUCUCGGGCAUGCUCUAAAUGGGUGGGUUAGCUAUCCUAGUUUGUAAACACUUUGUAUUCCGAUUGUGCGUAGCUACACCAGUUCGGCAAGUCCAUCUGCGUAAUUUUUUCUAGAUUUCGGAUGUCAUUUUUUGCUCGUAGACAUGCCUCGCCUUUAGCAGAUUGGAGGGCACUCAAAAGUUUAAGGAAUUCCACUAUAAUAUAAUAUAUAUAGAUGCACCCAAGAUAUAUAAUUUUCAGUCCUAUUUCUUGGGAUGACAUCUUAGAACUUGUUUUGUGGGCUCCGUCUUCGUCACUGCCGAGGAGCGCAUAAGCAUAUACGAAGAGUGCUCCUUCACAUUU